Molecule: ribosomal RNA, 1247 nt
Filed under: metagenome
Description: bacterial SSU rRNA
Rfam family: Bacterial small subunit ribosomal RNA
Source: RNAcentral
GUAGCUUGUUGGCGGGGUAACGGCCCACCAAGGCAACGAUCAGUAGGGGUUCUGAGAGGAAGGUCCCCCACAUUGGAACUGAGACACGGUCCAAACUCCUACGGGAGGCAGCAGUGAGGAAUAUUGGUCAAUGGGCGAGAGCCUGAACCAGCCAAGUAGCGUGCAGGAAGACGGCCCUAUGGGUUGUAAACUGCUUUUAUAAGGGAAUAAAGUGAGAGUCGUGACUCUUUUUGCAUGUACCUUAUGAAUAAGGACCGGCUAAUUCCGUGCCAGCAGCCGCGGUAAUACGGAAGGUCCGGGCGUUAUCCGGAUUUAUUGGGUUUAAAGGGAGCGUAGGCCGGAGAUUAAGCGUGUUGUGAAAUGUAGACGCUCAACGUCUGCACUGCAGCGCGAACUGGUUUCCUUGAGUACGCACAAAGUGGGCGGAAUUCGUGGUGUAGCGGUGAAAUGCUUAGAUAUCACGAAGAACUCCGAUUGCGAAGGCAGCUCACUGGAGCGCAACUGACGCUGAAGCUCGAAAGUGCGGGUAUCGAACAGGAUUAGAUACCCUGGUAGUCCGCACGGUAAACGAUGGAUGCCCGCUGUUGGUCUGAACAGGUCAGCGGCCAAGCGAAAGCAUUAAGCAUCCCACCUGGGGAGUACGCCGGCAAUGGUGAAACUCAAAGGAAUUGACGGGGGCCCGCACAAGCGGAGGAACAUGUGGUUUAAUUCGAUGAUACGCGAGGAACCUUACCCGGGCUUGAAUUGCAGAGGAAGGAUUUGGAGACAAUGACGCCCUUCGGGGUCUCUGUGAAGGUGCUGCAUGGUUGUCGUCAGCUCGUGCCGUGAGGUGUCGGCUUAAGUGCCAUAACGAGCGCAACCCCUCUCCUUAGUUGCCAUCAGGUUAAGCUGGGCACUCUGGGGACACUGCCACCGUAAGGUGUGAGGAAGGUGGGGAUGACGUCAAAUCAGCACGGCCCUUACGUCCGGGGCUACACACGUGUUACAAUGGCAGGUACAGAGAGACGGUUGUACGUAAGUACGAUCAAAUCCUUAAAGCCUGUCUCAGUUCGGACUGGGGUCUGCAACCCGACCCCACGAAGCUGGAUUCGCUAGUAAUCGCGCAUCAGCCAUGGCGCGGUGAAUACGUUCCCGGGCCUUGUACACACCGCCCGUCAAGCCAUGAAAGCCGGGGGCGCCUAAAGUCCGUGACCGUAAGGAGCGGCCUAGGGCGAAACUGGUAAUUGGGGCUAAGUCGUAACAAGGUA